Molecule: ribosomal RNA, 254 nt
Filed under: uncultured bacterium
Lineage: Bacteria
Description: partial 16S ribosomal RNA
Rfam family: Bacterial small subunit ribosomal RNA
Source: RNAcentral
UACGUAGGGGGCAAGCGUUGUCCGGAUUUAUUGGGCGUAAAGAGCGUGUAGGCGGCCACACAGGUCAGCUGUGAAAACUCGAGGCUCAACCUCGAGACGUCGGUUGAAACCGUAUGGCUAGAGUCCGGAAGAGGAGAGUGGAAUUCCCGGUGUAGCGGUGAAAUGCGCAGAUAUCGGGAAGAACACCCGUGGCGAAGGCGGCUCUCUGGGACGGUACUGACGCUGAGACGGCGAAAGCGUGGGGAGCGAACAGG